Felis catus (domestic cat) is the source of this 2313-nucleotide long non-coding RNA. RefSeq lists it as uncharacterized. The record is from RefSeq and is a predicted model, not a curated record. NCBI's taxonomy places the organism in Eukaryota, Metazoa, Chordata, Mammalia, Carnivora, Felidae. The transcript has 2 exons.
AUGGUUUUCUAUUAAGUUUCUCAGGAUCCACAUAAGAGUGAAAACAUAUGGUAUCUGUCUUUCUCUGUGUGACUUAUUUCUCUUAGCAUAACACUUUCCAGUUCCAUCCAGGUUGCUACAAAAGGUUGCCUUUUCCUAACUUGCCUAAAGGUGCCUCAGGGGCUAGGGAACCCCACCCCUGAUCCAGUCCUUUUCCCACCAGCACCUCCUCACGCUCUGACCUUCCGAUUUCUCCAACACCCUCUCUCAGCCUCUCACUCACUGCCCACUGACAGCCCACCUUACCAGCCCGGACCUGGAUUCCUUCGGAACAGGCCUACUGACACCCUUACCCUAACUCCUCCCUCGCAGCCCUGACCUUGGACUCAUUCUCAUACAGAAUAAGCCUUGGACUUAUCUAUCCAACUCGUCUUUGCCCCCGACUCCCAAGCCGGAGAAGGACCUCGGGUCUUCCUACAGCUCCGCCCACUGGAGGCCCCGCCCCCGCCCACGUCGGGUAGUGCUCUCACCCUAUCUCUCACAAGAUCUGCCCUGUCUCCCAGGAUUUGCGGUUUGGCCUGCCUCACUGACACUUAUUGAAGUCCCCGGAGAGGCAGCGAGGGCCCAACUGGGCCCUAGUUCGUGGAGAGACGCCGGCCGGCUUGUUACUGCUUAGCUCCUUCCUGUGGUUCAUUGCGGCUGCGCGGCAGACGAUGACAGCAUCAAGUAUUCUUGCGCAGAGGCGAAGUUUACGGUUGGCUCCAUAGCUCAGGGGUUAGAGCACUGGUCUUGUAAACCAGGGGUCGCGAGUUCAAAUCUCGCUGGGGCCUGCUGGUGCGACUUUUUUUCCCCACCCUUUCCUCAAAGGUGGAAAAGCGGAAGAUGCUUGAGCCAACACGAAUUUCCGCUUUUCUUAGAGACCAGGCCUUAGGCGGAGCUGCCUGUUCCUUGACACUUAGAUGCCCACCGACUAAAAGUGGCUUUACUUUUUCAAGAACCAAACCCACUGCGUCCGUGACCUUUCGAUCACAGGCUCCGCUGGCUCCGCGCGUCUUCUCCACAGCGGUCCUUCGCUGGUAUCCUUCGCUGAGAAGAGAAGCAAAUGCUUACCACACGGAGGUGGUAGUAACGGAGGCCGAGGACACACGGUGGCCUAGGGCAGAAGAGAGCCCAUCUAACGCUUUGUGCGUCUGGAAAAGAGACGAGGACAACGCCAACGCCUUGUGGCGAAGAGGCGGGUUAGCAUUGUGUUUUCCAAGGAAGAGUCCGAGAGGAGCAGCGAAUGGAGCGGUCAAUGCAGAGGGAUGAGCAAGAUCGUGGAGUGGCAGUAGAUAAAUUAGCACUUUUUUCCUUGGAGGAGGUUAACCACCAUUCGUCUCCCACUCAUUUUUUAUAACUGCCGUUGUGUAGGAAAUUUCUUUGCUGGCUGCACAAAAAUAAACCUUUGGACCAACUCUGAGUGGAUUUUCGUGAAUUUUACAGCAGGAAAUCAGAAUCACUGGCUUUUGUUUUUUUACUACUGAAUAAUCCAGCGCAGUUAAAGUCUUUUUAGGGAAAGCAAGCCUGAGACGAGGGAGGACAGCGCCCGCACAGCCCAGGACCCUGGUUUGGCGGGAGCCGAUGGCUGCUCCAGUGCAAUCUCGGACAAAGCUUCGGGGACGGAGAGCCGGGGCAUUCAGCCUGCGUGCCCAGUGUGCGCGCGCGCUCUAGUGCGAGCCUCCAGAACUGCGCAACCACCACUGCAGCCAGCCACCCCAAGGGAACGGGGUUUCCGGUCAUCUUGUUUCUGCCUUACACUUCCCUACAUUUUGUGAAGCUUUUGCAAAUAAGGGUGUGUUGCUUUUCAUGUUUUCAUAAAACAAUAAAAGAAAAGCUCUCGCCCUUUUACCAGGCGCCCCACCUGAAGGGACUACUACCUCGACUUCAUUUCGCUUGUGGCGGCUCAGGACCCAGUCAGUCCCGCGUCCCCUCCAAAUCCCGCGCGCGGUUCUCUCCAGGAGCCCUGGGCUUCUCCCGGCCUCUGAGCCCAGACCCUGGGCCUCCAGACUUGCGCCUUGCUUGGGCUCCCUUGGGCAGGGGCUCCCGGUCCCCAAAGCGGAAAGUUGCCCCUGCCUGCUGCUCCUACCUGCUGCUAGUGAGGCACUCCUUCGGAUUCCAGAUUACAUAGAAGGACCAAGAGACACGGACCGUUUACGCUGGGCGAGCUACCUACGGAUGAGAUUAAUGACAGAUGCCCAGACUGUGGAGUAGGGAUGCGUUGGGUGUGGGAGACUCAGAUCCAGAGAGCAAUUUCAAUAUGUCAAAAAUAAAAAUCUCCGUCGGUGAUAAAAAUUA